CCUAGAGUUUGUUAGGCUUUGCCUGCCUAUCUUCUUACCCAUGUCUUUUGAGUACCUUACGUUUCCUCGGUGGGUUCGCCCACCGAUUGGACAAAUUUAAACCCUUUGCAGUUGAAAUCAGCGUCUGAAAAAACUUAAUAGUUUA
Molecule: unclassified non-coding RNA, 145 nt
Filed under: soil metagenome
Description: partial internal transcribed spacer 1
Source: RNAcentral